AUUGAACGCUGGCGGCAGGCCUAACACAUGCAAGUCGAGCGGAUGAAGGGAGCUUGCUCCUGGAUUCAGCGGCGGACGGGUGAGUAAUGCCUAGGAAUCUGCCUGGUAGUGGGGGAUAACGUCCGGAAACGGGCGCUAAUACCGCAUACGUCCUGAGGGAGAAAGUGGGGGAUCUUCGGACCUCACGCCAUCAGAUGAGCCUAGGUCGGAUUAGCUAGUUGGUGGGGUAAAGGCCUACCAAGGCGACGAUCCGUAACUGGUCUGAGAGGAUGAUCAGUCACACUGGAACUGAGACACGGUCCAGACUCCUACGGGAGGCAGCAGUGGGGAAUAUUGGACAAUGGGCGAAAGCCUGAUCCAGCCAUGCCGCGUGUGUGAAGAAGGUCUUCGGAUUGUAAAGCACUUUAAGUUGGGAGGAAGGGCAGUAAGUUAAUACCUUGCUGUUUUGACGUUACCAACAGAAUAAGCACCGGCUAACUUCGCG
Molecule: ribosomal RNA, 484 nt
Filed under: uncultured bacterium
Lineage: Bacteria
Description: partial 16S ribosomal RNA
Rfam family: Bacterial small subunit ribosomal RNA
Source: RNAcentral